GGGUUGUGAGGUUAAGCGACUAAGCGUACACGGUGGAUGCCCUGGCAGUCAGAGGCGAUGAAGGACGUGCUAAUCUGCGAUAAGCGUCGGUAAGGUGAUAUGAACCGUUAUAACCGGCGAUUUCCGAAUGGGGAAACCCAGUGUGAUUCGUCACACUAUCAUUAACUGAAUCCAUAGGUUAAUGAGGCGAACCGGGGGAACUGAAACAUCUAAGUACCCCGAGGAAAAGAAAUCAACCGAGAUUCCCCCAGUAGCGGCGAGCGAACGGGGAGCAGCCCAGAGCCUGAAUCAGUGUGUGUGUUAGUGGAAGCGUCUGGAAAGGCGUGCGAUACAGGGUGACAGCCCCGUACACAAAAAUGCACAUACUGUGAGCUCGAUGAGUAGGGCGGGACACGUGGUAUCCUGUCUGAAUAUGGGGGGGCCAUCCUCCAAGGCUAAAUACUCCUGACUGACCGAUAGUGAACCAGUACCGUGAGGGAAAGGCGAAAAGAACCCCGGCGAGGGGAGUGAAAAAGAACCUGAAACCGUGUACGUACAAGCAGUGGGAGCACGCUUAGGCGUGUGACUGCGUACCUUUUGUAUAAUGGGUCAGCGACUUAUAUUCUGUAGCAAGGUUAACCGAAUAGGGGAGCCGAAGGGAAACCGAGUCUUAACUGGGCGUUAAGUUGCAGGGUAUAGACCCGAAACCCGGUGAUCUAGCCAUGGGCAGGUUGAAGGUUGGGUAACACUAACUGGAGGACCGAACCGACUAAUGUUGAAAAAUUAGCGGAUGACUUGUGGCUGGGGGUGAAAGGCCAAUCAAACCGGGAGAUAGCUGGUUCUCCCCGAAAGCUAUUUAGGUAGCGCCUCGUGAAUUCAUCUCCGGGGGUAGAGCACUGUUUCGGCAAGGGGGUCAUCCCGACUUACCAACCCGAUGCAAACUGCGAAUACCGGAGAAUGUUAUCACGGGAGACACACGGCGGGUGCUAACGUCCGUCGUGAAGAGGGAAACAACCCAGACCGCCAGCUAAGGUCCCAAAGUCAUGGUUAAGUGGGAAACGAUGUGGGAAGGCCCAGACAGCCAGGAUGUUGGCUUAGAAGCAGCCAUCAUUUAAAGAAAGCGUAAUAGCUCACUGGUCGAGUCGGCCUGCGCGGAAGAUGUAACGGGGCUAAACCAUGCACCGAAGCUGCGGCAGCGACGCUUAUGCGUUGUUGGGUAGGGGAGCGUUCUGUAAGCCUGUGAAGGUGUGCUGUGAGGUAUGCUGGAGGUAUCAGAAGUGCGAAUGCUGACAUAAGUAACGAUAAAGCGGGUGAAAAGCCCGCUCGCCGGAAGACCAAGGGUUCCUGUCCAACGUUAAUCGGGGCAGGGUGAGUCGACCCCUAAGGCGAGGCCGAAAGGCGUAGUCGAUGGGAAACAGGUUAAUAUUCCUGUACUUGGUGUUACUGCGAAGGGGGGACGGAGAAGGCUAUGUUGGCCGGGCGACGGUUGUCCCGGUUUAAGCGUGUAGGCUGGUUUUCCAGGCAAAUCCGGAAAAUCAAGGCCGAGGCGUGAUGACGAGGCACUACGGUGCUGAAGCAACAAAUGCCCUGCUUCCAGGAAAAGCCUCUAAGCAUCAGGUAACAUCAAAUCGUACCCCAAACCGACACAGGUGGUCAGGUAGAGAAUACCAAGGCGCUUGAGAGAACUCGGGUGAAGGAACUAGGCAAAAUGGUGCCGUAACUUCGGGAGAAGGCACGCUGAUACGUAGGUGAAGCGACUUGCUCGUGGAGCUGAAAUCAGUCGAAGAUACCAGCUGGCUGCAACUGUUUAUUAAAAACACAGCACUGUGCAAACACGAAAGUGGACGUAUACGGUGUGACGCCUGCCCGGUGCCGGAAGGUUAAUUGAUGGGGUUAGCGCAAGCGAAGCUCUUGAUCGAAGCCCCGGUAAACGGCGGCCGUAACUAUAACGGUCCUAAGGUAGCGAAAUUCCUUGUCGGGUAAGUUCCGACCUGCACGAAUGGCGUAAUGAUGGCCAGGCUGUCUCCACCCGAGACUCAGUGAAAUUGAACUCGCUGUGAAGAUGCAGUGUACCCGCGGCAAGACGGAAAGACCCCGUGAACCUUUACUAUAGCUUGACACUGAACAUUGAGCCUUGAUGUGUAGGAUAGGUGGGAGGCUUUGAAGUGUGGACGCCAGUCUGCAUGGAGCCGACCUUGAAAUACCACCCUUUAAUGUUUGAUGUUCUAACGUGGACCCGUGAUCCGGGUUGCGGACAGUGUCUGGUGGGUAGUUUGACUGGGGCGGUCUCCUCCUAAAGAGUAACGGAGGAGCACGAAGGUUGGCUAAUCCUGGUCGGACAUCAGGAGGUUAGUGCAAUGGCAUAAGCCAGCUUGACUGCGAGCGUGACGGCGCGAGCAGGUGCGAAAGCAGGUCAUAGUGAUCCGGUGGUUCUGAAUGGAAGGGCCAUCGCUCAACGGAUAAAAGGUACUCCGGGGAUAACAGGCUGAUACCGCCCAAGAGUUCAUAUCGACGGCGGUGUUUGGCACCUCGAUGUCGGCUCAUCACAUCCUGGGGCUGAAGUAGGUCCCAAGGGUAUGGCUGUUCGCCAUUUAAAGUGGUACGCGAGCUGGGUUUAGAACGUCGUGAGACAGUUCGGUCCCUAUCUGCCGUGGGCGCUGGAGAACUGAGGGGGGCUGCUCCUAGUACGAGAGGACCGGAGUGGACGCAUCACUGGUGUUCGGGUUGUCAUGCCAAUGGCACUGCCCGGUAGCUAAAUGCGGAAGAGAUAAGUGCUGAAAGCAUCUAAGCACGAAACUUGCCCCGAGAUGAGUUCUCCCUGACCCUUUAAGGGUCCUGAAGGAACGUUGAAGACGACGACGUUGAUAGGCCGGGUGUGUAAGCGCAGCGAUGCGUUGAGCUAACCGGUACUAAUGAACCGUGAGGCUUAACCUUACAACGCCGAAG
This 2925-nucleotide ribosomal RNA is filed under the name Shigella boydii. Its description in RNAcentral is "23S ribosomal RNA". It matches the Rfam family "Bacterial large subunit ribosomal RNA". The record is from RNAcentral. Lineage: Bacteria; Pseudomonadati; Pseudomonadota; Gammaproteobacteria; Enterobacterales; Enterobacteriaceae. RNAcentral also lists the same sequence under 1 other name.